Molecule: small nucleolar RNA, 107 nt
Organism: Lathyrus oleraceus (garden pea)
Lineage: Eukaryota; Viridiplantae; Streptophyta; Magnoliopsida; Fabales; Fabaceae
Source: RefSeq, a predicted model, not a curated record
AUACCAUGGUAGAGACAUUACCUCAAAAUCUCUUUAAAUAUUUCCAACGCGUCAAAUAAGGAUUCAUCAUAUCCUUGUCUAAAUGAAGUAAUCUCAUUCCUCAUCUU